Non-coding RNA from Malassezia cuniculi, 80 nucleotides. The record is from the annotation of a GenBank genome assembly. NCBI's taxonomy places the organism in Eukaryota, Fungi, Basidiomycota, Malasseziomycetes, Malasseziales, Malasseziaceae.
ACGGCGUUAGUUAAGGGGUAUAACACUUGCCUUCCACUAGCGUAUAGCAAGAAUGAGGGGUUCGAGUCCCCUACGCCGUA